CAGCAGCCGCGGUAAUACGUAGGGAGCGAGCGUUGUCCGGAAUCAUUGGGCGUAAAGAGCUCGUAGGCGGCUUGGUAAGUCGGAUGUGAAACCUCCAGGCUCAACCUGGAGUCGCCAUCCGAUACUGCCAUAGCUAGAGUCCGGUAGGGGCCCACGGAACUCCUGGUGUAGCGGUGAAAUGCGCAGAUAUCAGGAAGAACACCGGUGGCGAAGGCGGUGGGCUGGGCCGGCACUGACGCUGAGGAGCGAAAGCGUGGGGAGCGAACAGGAUUAGAUACCCGAGUAGUCCCUGUCUCUUAUA
This 301-nucleotide ribosomal RNA is filed under the name uncultured bacterium. RNAcentral describes it as "partial 16S ribosomal RNA". It matches the Rfam family "Bacterial small subunit ribosomal RNA", at positions 509 to 808 of the family's 1533-position model. The record is from RNAcentral.